AAUGAACGCUGGCGGCAUGCCUAACACAUGCAAGUCGAACGGCAGCACGAUGAGCGUUCGCCUCUAACGGUGGCGUGGGGCGGGUGAGUGACAUGUACAUAACCUUCCUCUUUUGCGGGGGGUACUGCGGAGAAAAAUAUACGAUAACAGCGAAUACGUUGAACCGGAGAGAGCAGUAGUUAUAGGCAUUUUGCCCGACUCUAGGAGGCGAUGUCGGAUUAGCUAGUUGGCGAGGUAAGGGCUCACCAAGGCCACGAUCCGUAGCGGGUCUGAGAGGAUGAUCGGCCACACUGGAACUGAGACACGGUCCAGACUCCUACGGGAGGCAGCAGUGGGGAAUAUUGGGCAAUGGGCGCAAGCCUGAUCCAGCCAUGCCGCGUGAGUGAAGAAGGCCUUCGGGUUGUAAAGCUCUUUUGUUAGGGAAGAAAAAAUGCGGGAUAAUACAUGGACGUUUUGACGGUACCUAAACAAAAAGCACCGGCUAACUACGUG
This 492-nucleotide ribosomal RNA is filed under the name uncultured bacterium. RNAcentral describes it as "partial 16S ribosomal RNA". It matches the Rfam family "Bacterial small subunit ribosomal RNA", at positions 29 to 507 of the family's 1533-position model. The record is from RNAcentral.